GGUUCGAUGGCGUAGUUGGUUAUCGCAUCUGUCUAACAUGAUCUUUAAAGGUCCUUACGCAUGCUACACAGAAGGUCCCCAGUUCGAGCCUGGGUCGAAUCA
Non-coding RNA from Paramarasmius palmivorus, 102 nucleotides. The record is from the annotation of a GenBank genome assembly. Lineage: Eukaryota; Fungi; Basidiomycota; Agaricomycetes; Agaricales; Marasmiaceae.